GAUGAACGCUGGCGGCGUGCCUAAUACAUGCAAGUCGAGCGAACGGACGAGAAGCUUGCUUCUCUGAUGUUAGCGGCGGACGGGUGAGUGACACGUGGAUAACCUACCUAUAAGACUGGGAUAACUUCGGGAAACCGGAGCUAAUACCGGAUAAUAUUUUGAACCGCAUGGUUCAAAAGUGAAAGACGGUCUUGCUGUCACUUAUAGAUGGAUCCGCGCUGCAUUAGCUAGUUGGUAAGGUAACGGCUUACCAAGGCAACGAUGGAUAGCCGACCUGAGAGGGUGAUCGGCCACACUGGAACUGAGACACGGUCCAGACUCCUACGGGAGGCAGCAGUAGGGAAUCUUCCGCAAUGGGCGAAAGCCUGACGGAGCAACGCCGCGUGAGUGAUGAAGGUCUUCGGAUCGUAAAACUCUGUUAUUAGGGAAGAACAUAUGUGUAAGUAACUGUGCACAUCUUGACGGUACCUAAUCAGAAAGCCACGGCUAACUACGUG
RNAcentral lists this ribosomal RNA (497 nucleotides) under uncultured bacterium. RNAcentral's name for it is "partial 16S ribosomal RNA". It matches the Rfam family "Bacterial small subunit ribosomal RNA", at positions 28 to 507 of the family's 1533-position model. The record is from RNAcentral.